Molecule: microRNA precursor, 96 nt
Filed under: Mesocricetus auratus (golden hamster)
Lineage: Eukaryota; Metazoa; Chordata; Mammalia; Rodentia; Cricetidae
Description: miRNA (ENSMAUG00000003320.1)
Source: RNAcentral
CACACUUAUGUAUGUGUAUGUACAUAGUACACAUAUGUAUGUAUACAUACUUACUUUUGUAAAGUCAUAUAUACAUACACUCACAUAGAUUGUACA